Long non-coding RNA from Clupea harengus (Atlantic herring), 475 nucleotides. The record is from Ensembl. NCBI's taxonomy places the organism in Eukaryota, Metazoa, Chordata, Actinopteri, Clupeiformes, Clupeidae.
GACCAAUAGGUGCACUACACCAGAGACUACCAGAGGCUAGGAGUUAGCCCCAGCACCUCACAGUGGAGGCACUGCUAAAGCUGGAAGAAAUACAAAAAAAUGAGGAGAUUGCGAAUGAGAGAAAACACAUUUAUGAGGCAAUGGUGACCUUUAACCUAAAGGAAAUCCUGUCAGCUCAGACAUUGUUUUGAUGACUGUGGUUUAUGAAGUGGAAUAGUCUUUGUGGAAUUCUCUUCUAUACCAGAGGACGUUGAAAGUAAAGAAUCUGAAGAUCACGUCAAAGGAUUUUUGGAGGAGGCAUUAAGGCACAUAAUUACACAGGAAGAAAAUGGUAAGACUUCGAAAGUUGCAAUAGUUUUUGAAGAGAAAGGGGAGAUGAAUGCGUGCGUGACUCAGACCCUCCCUUGAAGUGAAAGGUUGGGUGGUUUAACGUGUUCCCUACACAUCAGCCUCACAGCGCUGGAUGCGAUGAGUA